ACUUUGAGCAAUGUAGCGACUUACUGCACUCAGUCGACUGUGAACUCUCGUCGCGAUCGGAUGGGAAAAAAUUGGCCGGUGCUCAUAAUAUGAGCCACCUAGAAGUGUUGUUCUCUUGUUGCGUUUUUUUUGGUUGAACAAAAAAGAACUUUGGAAUAUUACGUACGACUUGAGUGUGUGCCAAUUUUUUUCCAAUUCGAGAAAACGACUGAAAAAACAUUUGAUGUGAAAAAUGGAAAAAAAAACAUUUGAUGAAAAAAAAAUAGUUUGAACUUUAGUGAAUAUGAGGAAAAAAAAAGUGAAUUUCGAAGAUUUCUCUGCAGAAAUGAUAAUAAAUUGGAUUUUUUUCGAUUUAAAGUGGAUUUUUAUGUGAAGAAAAAAAAAAACAAAUCAACGACGAAUUGAACAUAUUUUUUCCAAUUUUGUCAAGUUUUUGCACUUUGAAAUGAACAUUGGAAUUUUUGUUGUCUUGUCGUCGAAUGUGAAAUAGUGUGGAAGUAGCCAAAUUUUGUGCUCGUGACUGAACAUUGAACAAGAAACGAAAAAAACUAAAAACAUUGUACAAAUUCAAUUGAACUUUUUUCUUUGGCAAUCCAUCUGAAUUUUUGGACAUUUCAAUUGCGUGAUGUUUUGAUCGGUGAAUGAAAUUUCAUGUAUUCCUUGAGAAAAAAAUAUUUUGAACUUAAAAAGUGCAAUUUCUGCAGUUCAUUAAAAAAAACGAUCGAACGAAAAAGCUUUAGUGAAUUUGAGUUUUCAAUUAAUUUUCAUGAUACAACUGUAUUAUCUAACUGUGUUUAGUUGUUCACUAAAAGUGGGAAAAAAGUCGAAAUUUAAUAGCAAUUCAUGAAACGGCGAUAAAAAUUUGACGAGAUUUUGAGCAUCGAUGGACUGAAGAAUAUAAAUCACAAGAAGAAUCACAUAGAAUUCGCUACAAUUAGGUUUUGUCUUCGUUUCACGGUACCUUCAAAUACCCAUUGAAUCAAUCGAACGAAUCGUCAGUGUUUGAGCUCUCCGAAUUUGGCUACAUUUGUUUUCCUGUUUUUCGAACGUGUUACCUGGACAAAGUGGAACUUCAAAAUAGCUUUCGUUUAGUCAUACUAUUGCUACUGCACAUUCGACGGGUGGAUUAAUACUAAAAGAUAUUCAUCAUCAGUUUAUAUUGUUGCUGAAAAAAACUCAAUCAACCGACCAAGGCAAACGGAAUACAGUCACGGUCAAGUUCACCGUCAUAAUUUAUCGAAAGCGUAUUAAACGAUGGCUUGGUCUAUGGCAAUCGAUUAGGAAUAUCAAAAUUGUUGUUCUGGAGAGGUUAUCAUCGUGUCAUGUCUAACCACAUAUGGUUAGCUGUUGUUCUACACACCCUCGAUUUAUUUGAAACGUAGAUUUGCAACUGCUUACAAUCUCAAGCUACUCACAAAUGAUCAUUCCUUCAAGCAACUUUAAAGCCGUGAAUUUGAAAUCAGCGAUUUAUUCUGGAUUUUAGAAUCGUCCGUCAAAUCAGCAUUGUUCACUUCUUUGUCAUACCAAAUUAAACCAACAUUUUCAAAACUACCUGGAUAAUUGAGAAAAAAGAUCAGAGGAACUUGGCAUUUCAUCGAUUAGUAUCACCAAUUGCCAAAGGCAUUUAGUUCGACUAUGAUCGACCAAAAGAUCCGAAUCAAUGAAAUCAACGUUUACGUGAAAAAUCAAUGAGAAUUCGUGAUUUUGAAGUGAAAAUUUAGCCCAAAAAAGGAAUUUUCAUGAAAACACAAUGACUUUAUUGCCCAAAACCAAUUGGCUACAGCAUUGAAACGAAACAUCCGUGCCAAUCGCAGCUACACAAACUAGUUUAUUGUUGACAAACUACAAUCUCUUCAACAAAAGCGACACAACAUCCGAUAUCAUUGGAUUGGCCAAUAGCCACAUCACCUCAAGCGUUGCUGAAAUUCUCAUUUGACCCAGAGAUCUCGAUGAUUGGCUACGAUGUCGCAUUCAUAUACAACAAUCAGCUCACAAAUUUAUCGAAAAUGAAUGCCCAAAAUCGAAAUAUAGCUGUCUUAUUCGAGGAAUUUAAUAGAAAAUGGAUUUGGGCAUCUUGAGCUUGAGAACACAUCGUUUCACCAUGAGUAUUUCUGAGUCGCAAUGAAGGAACGAAAGACAUUAGCAUGAAAGUACUUUAUCGGAGAGUUAGGCAAUUCGUUGCAGAGUUUGGCGGCAUCGGUUAAUUCAACAAACAAUUUUGAUCAGCAUCUUCAGAAGAAUAGUCACACGAAAAACCAGAAAAUGUGUCAAAUCUUCGAGCAACAUUUUCCGUCCAUGAUAAUUGCAUUACCAAUGCCAGCGCUUAAAGGAAUUUUUGAGGUCCCGUUCGAUCGUAUUCGUGCGCAUUUCAAUCUGAAGUUAAACGUCAAGAUCAAUGAUAUUGUUGUUUUGUUUUUCGAUCGUUCAACUUUUUGGGCCAAAUACAAACGCAUUUUAAUGAAUUUAGAUUAUCGAUUGCAAAUAACACAGCAAACACAAUGAUCGAACUACGCGUUAGGUUAAUAAGCGUUGAAAAUCGUGUUUACCAUCUGAACAACUGAAAACAGCAGUCGGUUUUACUAUCUUCUAAAUUCAAUGGAAUUCGUGUCUCGCCCGCUACCAAGGAAAAAAGAAAAAAUAUUGAGUUGACAAAAUUGACUGAAAAAUUCAACUUCAGAUGUUGAAUUGAAUGAUUUUAUUAGAAUUUUGUAAAUAUUUUCUUCAUUACGGCUAUAAAUAUCAUCCACAAGAUGCGUUGAA
Molecule: long non-coding RNA, 2760 nt
Organism: Sitodiplosis mosellana (orange wheat blossom midge)
Lineage: Eukaryota; Metazoa; Arthropoda; Insecta; Diptera; Cecidomyiidae
Exons: 7
Source: RefSeq, a predicted model, not a curated record